UGAGGAUGUCUUCUCCCCUUAAACCAGGUCUCUUGACUCGGAGUCUUCCAAGGAUUGAUUCUGGAGUGUAAGUCAGCAAUAUGAACUUGAUGCUCAUUUUGGCCUAAAGAUGGAGUCAUGAUCUGUCCCAGGCUGAAGUACAGUGGCACGAUCAUAGCUCACUGCAGCCUCAAAGGCCUGGGCUCAACGGAUCCUUCCUCCUCAGCCUCUUGAAUAGCAGAUUUUAUACACAUCUGCAAAGUCUUUGGCCCUAUCCACCCUUCCUCUUGACUCUGCACUGGCCUUAGGCACACUGCAUGACUUUCCAGGCUGGGCCAAUAAAAGCCAUGCAGCUUCCAUUUGGUUCUCUUUGGUUGCUUGUUCAUCCCUCUGGAGAUGUUUCUUAUGAGAACCCAGAAGCCAUGCUAUAAGAAGCCACAAGGAGAGGCCAUGUAUAGAAACUCCAGUCAACAGUUCCAGAUGAACCUGUCCUUCAACACUCAGAGCCAAGCUGCCAGACAUCCCAGAACUGAGCCCAAGACUCAGGACAUGGUCGGAAUUCAGUAAGAUGCUUACUUCCUUAAUUUUGGACAGUCUUCUGAUAAUGCAGCAAACUAUCGUGGAAAGUGGUUCUGUAGCUGCGUCACACACUAGGUCCCUAUUGGGCUUUGUGAACGAUGAAAACUAUUCCGAAAUCUGUUUCUUGUGAGUUUUUGCCAAAUCCAAGCUUGUCUUUAGACCAAUUGAUUCUUUUUUGGGGGGAGUGUUAUUCUAAAUUCAAG
RNAcentral lists this long non-coding RNA (761 nucleotides) under Homo sapiens (human). Its description in RNAcentral is "PREDICTED lncRNA (TCONS_00272812)". Lineage: Eukaryota; Metazoa; Chordata; Mammalia; Primates; Hominidae. The record is from RNAcentral.